RNAcentral lists this long non-coding RNA (551 nucleotides) under Mus pahari (shrew mouse). RNAcentral's name for it is "lncRNA (MGP_PahariEiJ_G0004518.1)". The record is from RNAcentral. Lineage: Eukaryota; Metazoa; Chordata; Mammalia; Rodentia; Muridae.
CGCAGACGCUGGAAUGAACACCAGAUGGGGAGGUUGGUGUGAGAUUUUUGCCACUGACUCUGUCCCAUCCCAGUUGUCCCAAAUGAGAGGCCUGUGGGUCUGCCAGAGGAGAGUUCUGUAUGGUCCAAAGGCUUGGGGGAAUCUGUUCCCUGUCUUUCUACAAAGAUGCUGGUCACAGCCCAUCCCUGCCAAAGGCUGCCCCGGGAUACAUAUGGUUUCCGUCAGGUUUGCUGAUUCCCUAGGGGACUCUCAGGACCUAGCAAGGCUGUUGUCCUCACAGAUACGGUUUGUACAGCAAAAGGAAACAGAUUAAUAGGAAUGAGUCAGCAUCCUGACUGGCGACCCCUAAUGGCCCACGCUCGCACUACAGCCACUUCCCCAAGGCAACUUUGAAAUCUGCCUGGGGAUGAAUGACAAAGGAGUCCACGACCAGAGCAACUAAUCGGAUGGUGCCAGCUACAGGGAGUGAGAUGCCCUGGACCAAUGGGGCACGGACAGAGCGUAUAAAGGCACACCCGAUCCCGCAAUAAACGAGUCUGCUUCCGCUUUGC